This 1698-nucleotide long non-coding RNA is filed under the name Crocodylus porosus (Australian saltwater crocodile). RNAcentral describes it as "lncRNA (ENSCPRG00005000806.1)". The record is from RNAcentral. Lineage: Eukaryota; Metazoa; Chordata; Crocodylia; Crocodylidae.
AAGUCACAAACGCUCUGAAUGGGAAAGCCCAGAGGUGAGUAACGUAAGCGCCGAUCAGUGUGUCAUGUCUUCUGUUCAUACAGCUGAAAAAACACCAGAACGCCAUCCUGGAGACCUUGUUCCAGGCGUCGUUUGUGCCUACCAGCGCUCAGGUCAUGCGGAAGGGCAUGCAAUCACUGGCUGCUGUCUUGAAUCAUCUAGGGACAGAUGCAGGGCCCCUGGUUUGGGAUGUAGUCACACACAUCAGGACCUUCUUCAACCAUGUGAGGUGAGCAGCACUCCCCACCCCCAUUCCAGCGCUCUUCAUUCAGGGUCACUGCAGAGGUAAGAGAUGCACUUCCUGUCCCUUGUUGCAGUCCAAACUGGAAGAUCUUAAGUUCUGUGGAAAAGAUGAGUUUUCAGGAGGAAAAGCAAGUGAAGAGAAUGGGAUGAUGGGAGGGACUCUCAGGAGACUGGAUGAGGCUGUAGCUGAAGCUCUGUAGGGCUCUGGGGCUAUUCUCUGCUGUGUUGAUUCUCCUGAGUCGGAAGCAGAGCUGGGCGGAAACAAGUAAGCACAGGGGCUGGGGGAUCUGAUUUUGCUGGGAUUUGGAAUCGGAGCCCCCAGUGACGGCACGUUCAGGGAACGAGGCUUGCUGCUCCCCGAGCUCCACUAAGUGCACUGGCUCCCAGGCAGCCCACCUGGAACAGGAGCUGUCAUAGCCUACCUCCAUGGCAGACCCCCUGGCAGGCUGGAGACUAAAGGCUUCUGUCAUGGGCCUGGCACAGCUCCUGACAGAAGUUUUGGUUGUGACCACACUGGAGCUGUUCAGCCACAGGGCAAUGACAAUCUUCACUCAAUGGCUUUCGCCCUGUUCAGCGCCCUGGCAGGCUGCAUAUAGAGAAGAUGGCACACCUAUUAUCGGAAUUAAGUGAGGCAGUUUGGCAAUGCUCCUGUUUCACCUGGAGGACCCCAACCCACACGUGGCCAAGAUAAGAACCAGUGACACUGAUUUCCUCAGCCCUACCAUGUCUCCUCAGUCCAGGCCCAGGGGCACCCUAUGCUUUCUGCAUCCUGUGGUGAUCAUCACCUUCCCACUCAGGGGGCUUUAUCCAGGCACCUCCUUGAGCUUGGGGCUGCCUCUUUGGGUCCAGGGCAGGCUGCACAUCUACCACCCCUCCCCCCCAUGCAUGCAGAAAAUCUUCCUGCGUGGCUUUACUGAGGGGGAGAUGAGUGCUGUCUGCAGGUGCCACAUGAAAAGCAGGACAAGUCCUUCCUUUGCUCACAGCCAUUCCUUUGUGCCUAAUGCCAGUUACCCCCUGGCCAGGCCAUCCUGUUCCUGGCCUUGGCUGAGUCCUGGGUCAAGCGGGAACCCUUGGCCUCAGCUCAGCAGUCAGCAGGGAAUAAGACCUGGUGUGACUGUGUUGGUUCUUUUGUUUGUUUGUGUUUUUGGGGAGUUUUUUUUUUUUUCAGGAGUACAGAACAACAUGGGGCUGCCGCUGCCCUUACCUGGGCUUAAGGACGGUGCAGGCAGCCCUGGCCUUCCAUAUCCAGGGCUCAGACUGGGUGAAACAAGAGCAGCUGCUGAGGGACCUCUGCAGGCACUUGGAGGAAGAAAAUUUGAGCACCUGAAACAUGAGAUCCUGCUCCUGCCUUCGCUCGAGGUAAUUUGCAUCAUCACAGAGCCUCACCACAGAGCUCAGAGACAUCUCACCACAUAA